AUGGACCUUGAAUCCCUCAUCAUGUUGGUUCCAUGGGAGAUUCAGAACGAGCGGAAUGUGAGAAUGUUUAUGAAUGUGUCAUCCAUGCCAAAUCUAACCACAUACAAAAUUAAGACCAAGUUCAGGCAUUGGGGUUGUCAGGGUAGCCUAGUCAUUUGGGACCGUAUUUGUGCGGUCUUUUAUUAA
RNAcentral lists this ribosomal RNA (186 nucleotides) under Triticum aestivum (bread wheat). RNAcentral describes it as "partial small subunit ribosomal RNA". Lineage: Eukaryota; Viridiplantae; Streptophyta; Magnoliopsida; Poales; Poaceae. The record is from RNAcentral.